This 271-nucleotide ribosomal RNA is filed under the name Gammarus balcanicus. RNAcentral's name for it is "partial 16S ribosomal RNA". Lineage: Eukaryota; Metazoa; Arthropoda; Malacostraca; Amphipoda; Gammaridae. The record is from RNAcentral.
CUAAGGUAGCAUAGUCAUUUGUUAUUUAAUUGGUAACUGGAAUGAAAGGUUAAACUAGCUUAUUAAGUUUGUGAGAUUAUAUAGUAGUUUAAAGUUAAGGUAAGAAUUCUUUAAUGUUCUAGGGGACGAUAAGACCCUAGAAGCUUAACAAGCAGUAAAUUUUGUUUUAGAAGAUUGUUUGUUUUACUGGGGCGGUAAAAAUAAUUAAACUAUUUAAUACUUAUAAGAUCCUUAAAAUAAAGAUAGAAUGGGAAAGUUACUCUAGGGAUAA